RNAcentral lists this ribosomal RNA (322 nucleotides) under Uroplatus sikorae. RNAcentral's name for it is "partial small subunit ribosomal RNA". The record is from RNAcentral. Lineage: Eukaryota; Metazoa; Chordata; Lepidosauria; Squamata; Gekkonidae.
AAGCAACCAGCUUAGAACUCAAAAGACUUGACAGUAUUUCACAUCGCCCUAGAGGAGCCUGUCCUACAACCGAUAACCCACGAUCAACCUCACCCGCCUUUGCAACAACAGUCUAUAUACCUCCGUCGCCAGCCCGCCUGAAAACAGAAACAAAGCGAGUACAACAAUUUAUCAUUAAGACGACAGGUCAAGGUGUAACUUAUGGGCUGGGCAGAGAUGGGCUACAUUUCCUAGUAUAGGAAAUACCUAUCCCGCCAUGAAACUUGCGCAAAAAGGUGGAUUUAGCAGUAAGUCAGACAAGAAAAGCCUGCCUGAAACUCGC